RNAcentral lists this ribosomal RNA (253 nucleotides) under uncultured bacterium. Its description in RNAcentral is "partial 16S ribosomal RNA". It matches the Rfam family "Bacterial small subunit ribosomal RNA", at positions 524 to 776 of the family's 1533-position model. The record is from RNAcentral.
UACGGGGGGGGCAAGCGUUGUUCGGAAUUACUGGGCGUAAAGGGCUCGUAGGUGGCCAACUAAGUCAGACGUGAAAUCCCUCGGCUUAACCGGGGAACUGCAUCUGAUACUGGAUGGCUUGAGUUUGGGAGAGGGAUGCGGAAUUCCAGGUGUAGCGGUGAAAUGCGUAGAUAUCUGGAGGAACACCGGUGGCGAAGGCGGCAUCCUGGACCAACACUGACGCUGAGGUGCGAAAGCUAGGGUAGCAAACGGG